RNAcentral lists this transfer RNA (72 nucleotides) under Bos taurus (domestic cattle). It matches the Rfam family "tRNA". From Rfam's summary of the family: Transfer RNA (tRNA) molecules are approximately 80 nucleotides in length. Their secondary structure includes four short double-helical elements and three loops (D, anti-codon, and T loops). RNAcentral also lists the same sequence under 1 other name. Lineage: Eukaryota; Metazoa; Chordata; Mammalia; Artiodactyla; Bovidae. The record is from Rfam by way of RNAcentral.
UCCCUGGUGGCUCAGAUGGUAAAGCGUCUGCCUACAAUGCAGGAGACCCGAGUUCAAUCCCUGGGUCGGGAA